GACGAACGCUGGCGGCGUGCCUAAUACAUGCAAGUCGAGCGCAGGAAAUCGACGGAACCCUUCGGGGGGAAGUCGACGGAAUGAGCGGCGGACGGGUGAGUAACACGUAAAGAACCUGCCCUCAGGUCUGGGAUAACCACGAGAAAUCGGGGCUAAUACCGGAUGGGUCAUCGGACCGCAUGGUCCGAGGAUGAAAGGCGCUUCGGCGUCGCCUGGGGAUGGCUUUGCGGUGCAUUAGCUAGUUGGUGGGGUAAUGGCCCACCAAGGCGACGAUGCAUAGCCGACCUGAGAGGGUGAUCGGCCACACUGGGACUGAGACACGGCCCAGACUCCUACGGGAGGCAGCAGUAGGGAAUCUUCCACAAUGGACGAAAGUCUGAUGGAGCAACGCCGCGUGAACGAUGAAGGCCUUCGGGUCGUAAAGUUCUGUUGUAAGGGAAGAACAAGUGCCGCAGGCAAUGGCGGCACCUUGACGGUACCUUGCGAGAAAGCCACGGCUAACUACGUGCCAGCCGCCGCGGUAA
RNAcentral lists this ribosomal RNA (524 nucleotides) under uncultured bacterium. RNAcentral describes it as "partial 16S ribosomal RNA". It matches the Rfam family "Bacterial small subunit ribosomal RNA", at positions 28 to 523 of the family's 1533-position model. The record is from RNAcentral.